ACGCAGCAACGCCGCGUGAGGGACGACGGCCUUCGGGUUGUAAACCUCUUUCAGCUCCGACGAAGCGCGAGUGACGGUAGGAGCUAAAGAAGCGCCGGCUAACUACGUGCCAGCAGCCGCGGUAAGACGUAGGGCGCAAGCGUUGUCCGGAUUUAUUGGGCGUAAAGAGCUCGUAGGCGGUCUGUCGCGUCAGCUGUGAAAUCCCGGGGCUUAACUUCGGGCGUGCAGUUGAUACGGGCAGACUGGAGGCAUGCGGGGGAGAGUGGAAUUCCUGGUGUAGCGGUGAAAUGCGCAGAUAUCAGGAGGAACACCGGUGGCGAAGGCGGCUCUCUGGGCAUGACCUGACGCUGAGGAGCGAAAGCGUGGGUAGCGAACAGGAUUAGAUACCCUGGUAGUCCACGCUGUAAACGUUGGGCGCUAGGUGUGGGGAUCUUUCCACGAUUUCCGUGCCGCAGCUAACGCAUUAAGCGCCCCGCCUGGGGAGUACGGCCGCAAGGUAA
This 500-nucleotide ribosomal RNA is filed under the name uncultured bacterium. RNAcentral's name for it is "bacterial SSU rRNA". It matches the Rfam family "Bacterial small subunit ribosomal RNA", at positions 386 to 896 of the family's 1533-position model. The record is from RNAcentral.